GGUCAGGACUCCCUGAGGUGGGGGUCUGAGUUGACUCUGGCAAUGAGGGUAGCCAAGAUGUUGCCCCUUAGGCCCCAUAAAAGCAAAGUCUCCCUUUUGAUCACAGUGCUGAGGUGCGCAGCAGGGCAGAGCAGUCCCGGUGUGUCUCGUGUCACUUGUCUUUUGUGUAUUGUGUGUUGCCUGGAUAUCUCAUGUCUCUUAUCUUAGCCCUGUGAGGGGCCUCUCAGAACCCUUUCCUAGCAUCUGUGAUCUCAGCGUUCCUCGCCCUGGCACCCAUGCCAUAGAACUUUUGACUGGGGAGCUCACACAGGCAUCAGAAAUGCAUCUCUCUUUAGAAGCAUCCAGUCAGAUGUCUUGUCAGGUCUUGUUCUGAGCUGUACGGACAGCCAUGCUGCGCAAUGAUCCAUUAUAGCAGAGUAGGACUUGUAAGGAUGUGAGGUUAGGGAGAGGAUUCUGACUGUAGGAUUCUCGGGCAUCCAUCUUUGCAGUUUUUGGAAUAAAUCAUUCAGUUUGCAUCUUCUUCCUGCAGGGUUCUCUGAGCCUCAUCAGCUCGCCAUCAGCUUCAACUCUUCUUCUUUUGCCUUCUCUCAGUCCUUGCAGCCAUUUUCCUUGCUAAGAGAUUUCCGUUCCUGUUGUGUCCCCAGUGUUUGUCACGUCUUGUCUGUCCUGUGUCACGGGUGUCUGCACACAUUUGUGCUGGAGCUGCUGUUCUGCCCUGCUGCAUAGCCUGGUGCAAUAGGAGAAGUCUCAGGGACUUGGAAUUUGUAAUGUGUAGUUGGAUUCUAGAUGGGAUUUGUAGAUGGACACAGGAUACGUGGAGCCCAUAAGUUAUCCUGCAGCCCUUUGACUUUCAUCCUAACUUUCUUUUAGUUGCAGAAGGAUAAAUCCAGGGCAGAGCCCCCCAUUCUGGGUGAGGGGAUUCCCCUGUGAAGGAAGUCAAGGCAGAGAGCAGCUGUCAAGGCUGAGUGGGCAAGAUGGACUGCUUGCCAUCUAUCCUUGCCCAGCAUGCCCAUGCCAGGUGGGUUCAAGCUUAAGGUAUCA
Melospiza georgiana is the source of this 1041-nucleotide long non-coding RNA. RefSeq lists it as uncharacterized. The transcript has 3 exons. The record is from RefSeq and is a predicted model, not a curated record. NCBI's taxonomy places the organism in Eukaryota, Metazoa, Chordata, Aves, Passeriformes, Passerellidae.